Molecule: transfer RNA, 78 nt
Filed under: Ephemerocybe angulata
Lineage: Eukaryota; Fungi; Basidiomycota; Agaricomycetes; Agaricales; Psathyrellaceae
Description: Coprinellus angulatus tRNA
Rfam family: tRNA
About the family: Transfer RNA (tRNA) molecules are approximately 80 nucleotides in length. Their secondary structure includes four short double-helical elements and three loops (D, anti-codon, and T loops). Further hydrogen bonds mediate the characteristic L-shaped molecular structure. tRNAs have two regions of fundamental functional importance: the anti-codon, which is responsible for specific mRNA codon recognition, and the 3' end, to which the tRNAs corresponding amino acid is attached (by aminoacyl-tRNA synthetases). tRNAs cope with the degeneracy of the genetic code in two manners: having more than one tRNA (with a specific anti-codon) for a particular amino acid; and 'wobble' base-pairing, i.e. permitting non-standard base-pairing at the 3rd anti-codon position.
Source: Rfam by way of RNAcentral
GGUACUAUAGUGUAGUGGUUAUCACUUGGGAUUUUGAAUCAUAUUCCCAUAACCCAGGUUCGAACCCUGGUAGUACCU